UACGGAGGAUCCAAGCGUUAUCCGGAUUUAUUGGGUUUAAAGGGUGCGUAGGCGGCCUAUUAAGUCAGGGGUGAAAGACGGUGGCUCAACCAUCGCAGUGCCCUUGAUACUGAUGGGCUUGAUUACACUUGAGGUAGGCGGAAUGUGACAAGUAGCGGUGAAAUGCAUAGAUAUGUCACAGAACACCAAUUGCGAAGGCAGCUUACUAAGGUGUCAAUGACGCUGAGGCACGAAAGCGUGGGGAUCAAACAGGAUUAGAAACCCGGGUAGU
This 271-nucleotide ribosomal RNA is filed under the name uncultured archaeon. RNAcentral describes it as "partial 16S ribosomal RNA". It matches the Rfam family "Bacterial small subunit ribosomal RNA", at positions 524 to 794 of the family's 1533-position model. The record is from RNAcentral.